AGUGAACGCUGGCGGCAGGCCUAACACAUGCAAGUCGAGCGGCAGCACGGCAAUAGCAAUAUUGUGGGUGGCGAGCGGCGGACGGGUGAGGAAUGCAUCGGGAUCUACCCUGUCGUGGGGGACAACGUAGGGAAACUUACGCUAAUACCGCAUGAUCUGGAGACAGCAAAGCCGGGGACCUUCGGGCCUGGCGCGAUGGGAUGAGCCGAUGUCCGAUUAGCUAGUUGGCGGGGUAAAGGCCCACCAAGGCGACGAUCGGUAGCUGGUCUGAGAGGACGACCAGCCACACUGGAACUGAGACACGGUCCAGACUCCUACGGGAGGCAGCAGUGGGGAAUAUUGGACAAUGGGGGCAACCCUGAUCCAGCCAUGCCGCGU
RNAcentral lists this ribosomal RNA (378 nucleotides) under uncultured bacterium. RNAcentral describes it as "bacterial SSU rRNA". It matches the Rfam family "Bacterial small subunit ribosomal RNA", at positions 30 to 402 of the family's 1533-position model. The record is from RNAcentral.